This is a long non-coding RNA of Mastomys coucha (southern multimammate mouse), 603 nucleotides long. RefSeq lists it as uncharacterized. The record is from RefSeq and is a predicted model, not a curated record. Lineage: Eukaryota; Metazoa; Chordata; Mammalia; Rodentia; Muridae. The transcript is spliced from 5 exons.
GCUAGACCAUGGCACCGAGGAAAGAUCACAAGAAUAAGAGUCCCGCGGCUGGAGGAAAGUCCUCCACAACAUAGUUCUUGCAUCCUCUUCACCCCUCAGUCUGAAGCAAAGAGAUCCUCCAUGAAGAGAAAAGAACCUCUGAAGAGGUUAAGCAUGGCUGGACAAACUAUGGAGUAAAAUCAUGAGUGCUUCCUGGGUUCCUUCCCCUGCUCUCCAUUUCCUUCCCCUUUUGCUAACUCCCUUAGAUAUAUUGAAACAAGUGGCUCGCAUAGUGGGAUCCUGAACAGCAGAAGAGGGGCCAUUUGCUCAAGAUCCUUUGAUAUUAAGCAGCUUGCUGCUGCAGCUCAUGUUGAAAGAAGAAGAGCACAAGACAGACAGAAGACCUUUGGAGUGAUUGAAUGACCCUUUCACAAGGGUCUCCUAAGACCAUCCCAAAACAGUUUUUCUGGCAUAGGCUGUCUGGUUCUAUUAUUCCGUCAAGGGGAGACCGUAAAGGAGGGAAGACUGAAUGUAUCCAUAACCAUUUCGUCAGGUUUUCUGUGCUUGCUUAAGUCACGAAUGCAACUGAUAAGCAACCCUCUUCAUUUCAAUAAACCAGUGGAG